GCGACUGCUCCCGCGAGGUCAGAGCCGGGCUGUGCCGCUGCCCCCGGGACUAGAAAGGGAAAUCUCCUUGCUAGAGGAGGAAGCCCUAAGAACUCAAGGGAGAUAGGGGUGGCAGGGGCAUUUCCCUGGAUGCCUGGAGCAUGGAGGGUGCGAAAUAAGGAGGCUUUCCUACCCCAUUGAUGAGCUGAAGUUGAUUCCGCACGGGGGAGGAAAGGGACAGGAAGCAUAAUUGGAUGUGCAAGCCUGUGGUUCUUCAGGAAGUUAACACGUGGAACUAACACUGUUGGAUGCUGCUGAACUCUCAGAAAAAUCAUCAUUGACAUCCAACACCAGCACUGGAAUGUUCAUCAGAGCCUCAAAGUGGAGCCUAUAAGAAGCGUGAACGUUUGGGGGACAGAAAAAAAGAAAUGUAACUUGAGUCAAGUUUCACAUACUCGCCAAGUCUUACUCAGAGAACAGAUCUAAAUUCAACAUGACUUUUCAAAGAAACUGCAUGUAAACUGCAUUUAAAAAAACAAAUUCAAUAAAGUUGGCCGGAAACAGAAAAAAAAAAAAA
This 556-nucleotide long non-coding RNA is filed under the name Homo sapiens (human). RNAcentral describes it as "DGUOK antisense RNA 1, transcript variant 2 (DGUOK-AS1)". Lineage: Eukaryota; Metazoa; Chordata; Mammalia; Primates; Hominidae. The record is from RNAcentral.